This 258-nucleotide ribosomal RNA is filed under the name uncultured bacterium. Its description in RNAcentral is "partial 16S ribosomal RNA". It matches the Rfam family "Bacterial small subunit ribosomal RNA", at positions 98 to 354 of the family's 1533-position model. The record is from RNAcentral.
CGGGACGGGUGAGUAACGCGUGAGCAACCUGCCUUUCAGAGAGGGAUAACGUUUGGAAACGAACGCUAAUACCGCAUGACAUUAUCUUAUCGCAUGGUAGGAUAAUCAAAGGAGCAAUCCGCUGAAAGAUGGGCUCGCGUCCGAUUAGGUAGUUGGUGGGGUAACGGCCCACCAAGCCGACGAUCGGUAGCCGGACUGAGAGGUUGGACGGCCACAUUGGGACUGAGACACGGCCCAGACUCCUACGGGAGGCAGCAG